This is a long non-coding RNA of Ictalurus punctatus (channel catfish), 3310 nucleotides long. The record is from Ensembl. Lineage: Eukaryota; Metazoa; Chordata; Actinopteri; Siluriformes; Ictaluridae.
UUGCUCUCAGCUGCUAGCGGUUUAGACGCUGAUUAUGUCCGCAUAUAUACGGCGCGCCUCCCAGCACACAACGCGGAAGAUUAAAUGUUUAGAGUUAGUUUAGCUCGUAUCAUAGUCACGGUCCAUGUUUAGAGUUAGUUCGCGCUGGAUUAUCCGCUUCCAGUCCCUCGUCAUAGUUCGUUUCUUGUUUUGUUUAUCGACCCUGUUUUCCGUGACCACGACCUAGAUUCCUGCCUUGCCCCGUGUAUGCCUGUUUGCCAAUCGCCUGACCUCUUGCAUGUUUAUGGAUUACGUUUUGGAUCACGUUUUGGAUUUGUCUGCCUGUCUGUCUUUCAAAUAAACAACUGUUCAUCCUGCACUUGCAUCCGUCCUAUCUCUGCUCCGUCACGAUUCGUGACAGAAUCUUCCACCAAAACAUGGAUGCAGCAGGAGAACGGAGGAGACGCAGAACCCGGAAGUCGACGCCAACCGUCCCCGCUAUGGACUCCGUCCACUUCCCACAAUGGACAUUUAUGGAGCUUCCUGAUCCAUUUGAUGGAUUUUUCGGUGCCCCUGAGUAUUUUCUGGUAGACUGUCAAUACUAUUUCGCCAGCCUGUUAGACCCUAAGCCAGAGGAGAAGCAAUGGCUCCGAUUCAUGUGGUCCCGGUUCUUUGGACCGGCCCGUCAAUGGGUGCAGCUAAAACUGGAUAAGCACUGUAGGAACCUGGACGGUGUAAAACAGUUUGUGGGGGAAUUCAUGGUGCGAUUCGGGAGUCCGGAGGCAAAGGACGAGCUAGAGCAACUUCUCAGGGGGGUAAGUCUGGCAGGCGAACCUGCCCUGCUGUUUACCUACUACUACAGGCAACUUCAUGUAGAGCUCAACUCUGAAAUCCAAGUCAAGCCUCCAGUCCCUGAGAUCCAAGUCAAGCCUCCAGUCCCUGAGAUCCAAGUCAAGCCUCCAGUCCCUGAGAUCCAAGUCAAGCCUCCAGUCCCUGAAAUCCAAGCCAAGUCUCAAGUCCCUGAAAUCCAAGUCCAAGCCAAGUCUCAAGUCCCUGAAAUCCAAGCCAAGCCUCCAGGCUCUGACGUCCAAGCCAAGCCUCCAGGCUCUGACGUCCAAGCCAAGCCUCCAGGCUCUGACGUCCAAGCCAAGCCUCCAGUCCCUGAGAUCCAAGCCAAGCCUCCAGUCCCUGAGGUCCAAGUCAAGCCUCCAGUCCCUGAGGUCCAAGUCAAGCCUCCGGUCCCUGAGGUCCAAGUCAAGCCUCCAGUCUCUGAGGUCCAAGCCAAGUCUCAAGUCCCUGAAAUCCAAGUCCAAGCCAAGCCUCCAGGCUCUGACGUCCAAGCCAAGCCUCCAGGCUCUGACGUCCAAGCCAGGCCUCCGGUCCCUGAGGUCCAAGCCAGGCCUCCGGUCCCUGAGGUCCAAGCCAGGCCUCCGGUCCCUGAGGUCCAAGCCAGGCCUCUCGUCCCUGAGGUCCAAGCCAAGUCUCACGGCCCUGAGCUCACGUUCAAGCCUGCUGAUCCAGUUGACCAAGCUCUGCUCACGCCACAGUCUGCUGACACGCCCCGCCAAGCUCUGCUCAUGCCACAGUCUGCUGACACGCCCCGCCAAGCUCUGCUCACGCCACAGUCUGCUGACAUGGCCACCCAAGCUCCACCCAUGCCCAAGGUUCACCUGGUGACCUCAGAGCCUCAGCCCCCCUGUUCAGCUGUGGGCGUCGCUCAGCCUCCCUGUUCAGCUGUGGGCGUCGCUCAGCCUCCCUGUUCAGCUGUGGGCGUCGCUCAGCCUCCCUGUUCAGCUGUGGGCAUCGCUCAGCCUCCCUGUUCAGCUGUGGACGUCGCUCAGCCUUCCUGCUCCAUGGCAAACAUCGUUCCCCCCUUCUGCUUCGAGGAGACCCACGCUCCUCUCCCUGGCCGCGAGGAGACCCACGCUCCUCUCCCUGGCCGCGAGGAGACCCACGCUCCUCUCCCUGGCCUUACUGGGGACGUCGUUCUACCUACAUGCUCCGCCGAGGACGUCGCCCUGCUUCUCUGCUCUGCUGAGUACAGUGCUCUGUUUCCCUGCUCCGCCAAGGACGUCACUCUGCCUUCAUGCUCCGACGAGGACGUCGCCCUGCUUCCCUGCUCUGCUGAGUACAGUGCUCUGUUUCCCUGCUCCGCCGUGGACGUCGCUCUGCUUUCAUGCUCCGACGAGGACGUCGCUCAGCCUCCCUGUUCAGCCAGGGUCGUCGCUCCGCUUCCCUACGCCGCCAAGAACACCGGGCCGUUUACUGGCUCUGCUUGGGACAUUCAGCCCAGGGGGCCGGGGCCGCCAAUGAAGUGGGAUGACUCAUGGCACUCCGGGAGGAGUGCCUUUCGGGGGGGGUGGUUCUGUCACGAUUCCCCCUUGAAGCAGCGUGCUCUAAGCGCGAAUGUGCGAGCACCUGCUUUUCCAUUGUUGACUGUAAUGACAUCUGGACACGUGUGUUUUGUUUAUGUUUCUGUCACCUCCCUGUUCUGUCAUUGGCUGGGAUUUCACGUGGGUCUGAAUUGCUCUCAGCUGCUAGCGGUUUAGACGCUGAUUAUGUCCGCAUAUAUACGGCGUGCCUCCCAGCACACAACGCGGAAGAGUAAAUGUUUAGAGUUAGUUUAGCUCGUAUCAUAGUCAUAGUCACGGUCCAUGUUUAGAGUUAGUUCGCGCCGGAUUAUCCGCUUCCAGUCCCUCGUCAUAGUUCGUUUCUUGUUUUGUUUAUCGACCCUGUUUUCCGUGACCACGACCUAGAUUCCUGCCUUGCCCCGUGUAUGCCUGUUUGCCAAUCGCCUGACCUCUUGCAUGUUUAUGGAUUACGUUUUGGAUCACGUUUUGGAUUUGUCUGUCUGUCUUUCAAAUAAACAACUGUUCAUCCUGCACUUGCAUCCGUCCUAUCUCUGCUCCGUCACGAUUCGUGACACCUAUGCGGUCCUUUGAUCAGUCGCUUUUAGAUGAGCGUCAUAGCAGCAGUCACGAGCAGAAAUUAAUAAAUUUUCUUACAAAGUCAUAUGCUUUUUUAGUAAUCAUAGUGACACUAAAUCAGCUGCAGGUAAACACAUCACAUUGUGUGUCCUAAGACUUCCAUUCUCAACUCAUGAUCCCCAAAUAUUUUUAAGACAUACCAUUUUUGUCUGCGACAGCAAAAUUGGGCCUAAAUUUGCAGUGUAAAGCUGGAUUUACAAACUUUCCACAGGUACUAUAUUACCUACCACCUCUUCAGUUCGGUGAAAUGGCAGUUUUCAGACCUAUAGAUGUCUUUAUUUUCCACUACCAUCAUACAAGAUCAGCAACUUCCUAAUGACAUCUUUGUUCAGAAUAGCAACCAG